RNAcentral lists this ribosomal RNA (434 nucleotides) under uncultured bacterium. RNAcentral describes it as "bacterial SSU rRNA". It matches the Rfam family "Bacterial small subunit ribosomal RNA", at positions 30 to 486 of the family's 1533-position model. The record is from RNAcentral.
AUUGAACGCUGGCGGCAUGCCUUACACAUGCAAGUCGAACGGCAGCACGGGAGCAAUCCUGGUGGCGAGUGGCGAACGGGUGAGUAAUAUAUCGGAACGUGCCCAGUCGUGGGGAUAACGUAGCGAAAGCUACGCUAAUACCGCAUACGAUCUAAGGAUGAAAGCGGGGGAUCGCAAGACCUCGCGCGAUUGGAGCGGCCGAUAUCAGAUUAGGUAGUUGGUGGGGUAAAGGCUCACCAAGCCAACGAUCUGUAGCUGGUCUGAGAGGACGACCAGCCACACUGGUACUGAGACACGGCCCAGACUCCUACGGGAGGCAGCAGUGGGGAAUAUUGGACAAUGGGCGAAAGACCUGAUCCAGCAAUGCCGCGUGAGUGAUGAAGGCUAGGUUGUAAGCUCUUUACCCGUAGAUGAUAAUGACAGUAUCGGAGGAA